GUUCAAUGAUUUUGGCACACAUGACACUGAAUUAGAUCACACUUGACUUAAAAUGAUUUUGAUCUUUGCAGGCGGAAGACAAUCUUGCACAGGCGUUUUGUUUCGUUGGAGAGUUGCAACCUGCAAUGGAACACUGUAAAGCCUCAAUCGAGAUCCUGGAGAAGCUCUAUAAUCCUAAUCACAUUGUCAUUGGAUAUGAA
Prunus avium (sweet cherry) is the source of this 200-nucleotide non-coding RNA. NCBI's taxonomy places the organism in Eukaryota, Viridiplantae, Streptophyta, Magnoliopsida, Rosales, Rosaceae. The record is from RefSeq and is a predicted model, not a curated record.